This 270-nucleotide ribosomal RNA is filed under the name uncultured archaeon. RNAcentral's name for it is "partial 16S ribosomal RNA". It matches the Rfam family "Archaeal small subunit ribosomal RNA", at positions 477 to 747 of the family's 1478-position model. The record is from RNAcentral.
CAGCACCUCAAGUGGUCAGGAUGAUUAUUUGGCCUAAAGCGUCCGUAGCCGGCUUAUCAAGUCUUUUGUUAAAUCCAACGAUUCAAUCGUUGGGCCGCAAAAGAUACUGUUAUGCUAGAGGACGGGAGAGGUCGACGGUAGUCCAGGGGUAGGGGUGAAAUCCUAUAAUCCUUGGAGGACCACCAGUGGCGAAGGCGGUCGACUAGAACGUGCCUGACGGUGAGGGACGAAAGCUGGGGGAGCGAACCGGAUUAGAUACCCGAGUAGUCC